UUCUGGGAGGCUGCUCUAUGGUCUCCCCAGAGCCUUCGCUUCUCCAGACUGGAUAAACCCAACCCUCUCAGACUUUCUUCAUAAAAGAGCAUGGGGUGGUUCUUUGGACAGAUGUCCCCACUCACUUCCUUCAUUGCACUGGAAAACCUCCUUCAAACUUGUCCCUCACAGCAGUGGAGAAGUCACCCACAGCAGUGGGAGCCUGGCUGUGCCACGAGCCAUGAUGGUACAAUUGGUUUCUCAGUGACAUAUACCUUAUUAACUUUUUCAUGCUGGGAUUGCACUGAAGUGAUGCUGCUUUUACCCCCAGGAGUUACAUCAGCCAUAGAUGUUUUGAUCAUGAUCCACAGCUAACACUUUGCAAUGCUCGAAGAUAUGGCUGGGCAAGGAACAUCUGGAGAAGCCAAGUGAGACACCAGGACUGCAUUGCCAAAUCCCUGCAGGAGAUUCCUAUUGCAUAAAAUAUUCCAGUGAUCAAGCAGUGAUUGCCCACUUGUCAGCGUGAGGGAGAGCUCUGUGAGUGAAAGGCAAGAACUACUCUCCUGGAAGGAAAGCUGCAGCUCACUUGCAGCACUGCUGGUUCAUUUGUGCAUCAGAGACCAUGGGGCUGAGCAAGCAUCACAGAAACACAUUCUGAGGAAUAUCUUGGAAGUUUGCUGCAGAGAUUCUCUGCUGGCUGCAAAUACAAAGCUGCAGGCAGACUCUUCCUCUGCAAUUUGUGAACACAUCUUGAAGAGGGCCAACAGCCCCCUUUUUCAGCAGCACUGAGCAGUCAUGGUACCCAGAAGGAAAAACUACACUUG
Long non-coding RNA from Corvus hawaiiensis (hawaiian crow), 803 nucleotides. RefSeq lists it as uncharacterized. The transcript is spliced from 7 exons. The record is from RefSeq and is a predicted model, not a curated record. Lineage: Eukaryota; Metazoa; Chordata; Aves; Passeriformes; Corvidae.